UGGGGAAUAUUGGACAAUGGGCGAAAGCCUGAUCCAGCCAUGCCGCGUGUAUGAAGAAGGCCUUCGGGUUGUAAAGUACUUUCAGCGGGGAGGAAGGCGAUAAGGUUAAUAACCUUGUCGAUUGACGUUACCCGCAGAAGAAGCACCGGCUAACUCCGUGCCAGCAGCCGCGGUAAUACGGAGGGUGCAAGCGUUAAUCGGAAUUACUGGGCGUAAAGCGCACGCAGGCGGUUUGUCAAGUCGGAUGUGAAAUCCCCGGGCUCAACCUGGGAACUGCAUUCGAAACUGGCAGGCUAGAGUCUUGUAGAGGGGGGUAGAAUUCCAGGUGUAGCGGUGAAAUGCGUAGAGAUCUGGAGGAAUACCGGUGGCGAAGGCGGCCCCCUGGACAAAGACUGACGCUCAGGUGCGAAAGCGUGGGGAGCAAACA
RNAcentral lists this ribosomal RNA (427 nucleotides) under uncultured bacterium. RNAcentral's name for it is "partial 16S ribosomal RNA". It matches the Rfam family "Bacterial small subunit ribosomal RNA", at positions 355 to 774 of the family's 1533-position model. The record is from RNAcentral.